RNAcentral lists this non-coding RNA (89 nucleotides) under Streptomyces ambofaciens. RNAcentral's name for it is "ZTP sequence". It matches the Rfam family "ZMP/ZTP riboswitch aptamer (pfl RNA motif)". Rfam says of the family: Previously known as pfl RNA. Lineage: Bacteria; Bacillati; Actinomycetota; Actinomycetes; Kitasatosporales; Streptomycetaceae. The record is from RNAcentral.
GCCUCGGGCCGUGACUGGCGCGCUGGGAUGGGACCAACCAUCGGGGAGCGGCCCGCGAAGAACAAGUGCCGUGCGCCUGGGCCGUCCGU